GCCGGAGGCAUGACACAUAAAUAGACUGUUGUACAUAUGUCUGUUUUGGCCAUAAGCCGAGUUGGCUUUGGCCUGAGCAAAAAUGAAAGAGAAGGACAGAAGAGGGGUAUUGUUGUUUCGUCAUUUUCAGUUACAGUAACAGCAACCACUUUACCUCUUCUUUUAGCUACGAUCACUAACAAUUGGCUCUAAAAACCUCGCUUUAUGCUGCUCCACUCUAUGUUUUGGUUGG
Molecule: long non-coding RNA, 232 nt
Filed under: Elaeis guineensis (African oil palm)
Lineage: Eukaryota; Viridiplantae; Streptophyta; Magnoliopsida; Arecales; Arecaceae
Description: long non-coding RNA (EGUI_LNC018315)
Source: RNAcentral